GUGUCAGCCGCCGCGGUAAGACAGAGGGUGCAAACGUUGUUCGGAAUUACUGGGCGUAAAGCGUGUGUAGGCGGUCGUGAAAGUCGGAUGUGAAAGCCCCGGGCUCAACCCGGGAAGUGCACCCGAUACUGCUCGACUUGAGUACCGGAGAGGUUGGUGGAAUUCUCGGUGUAGAGGUGAAAUUCGUAGAUAUCGAGAGGAACACCGGCGGCGAAGGCGGCCAACUGGACGAGUACUGACGCUGAGACACGAAAGCGUGGGGAGCAAACAGGAUUAGAAACCCCCGUAGUCC
This 292-nucleotide ribosomal RNA is filed under the name uncultured bacterium. RNAcentral describes it as "partial 16S ribosomal RNA". It matches the Rfam family "Bacterial small subunit ribosomal RNA", at positions 505 to 796 of the family's 1533-position model. The record is from RNAcentral.